UGGGGAGUCGUCUAAUUGGCAGGACAGCAGACUCUGGAUCUGUGGGUCGGGGUUCGAGUCCCUGCUCCCCAGCCA
Molecule: transfer RNA, 75 nt
Filed under: Caldilineae bacterium
Lineage: Bacteria; Bacillati; Chloroflexota; Caldilineae
Description: tRNA-Gln
Rfam family: tRNA
About the family: Transfer RNA (tRNA) molecules are approximately 80 nucleotides in length.
Source: RNAcentral